ACUAUAUCUAGUGUUAGAGGUUCUUUCGAUGCGAGUCGGAAGCUAAGACGGGAAUACGGUGAGUGACGUCCAUGACGGACAGAUCAAUGCCGAAGCUGCCCCCGCAACUGUAAGCGACGAGCAUCCGCUCGAUUAAUGCCACUGAGGCCGGAAGGCUUCGGGAAGGCGAGAUGGAUGUGACGACCCGCGAGCCAGGAGACCUGCCUCAAACGAAAACGUCCA
RNAcentral lists this non-coding RNA (222 nucleotides) under Rhizobium sp. Lineage: Bacteria; Pseudomonadati; Pseudomonadota; Alphaproteobacteria; Hyphomicrobiales; Rhizobiaceae. The record is from RNAcentral. RNAcentral also lists the same sequence under 1 other name.